This is a long non-coding RNA of Gasterosteus aculeatus aculeatus (three-spined stickleback), 1371 nucleotides long. Lineage: Eukaryota; Metazoa; Chordata; Actinopteri; Perciformes; Gasterosteidae. The record is from Ensembl.
GCCUACAUGCGUCAGCAGCUUUACACAACGAUCAUUGUGACGUCCAAGUGUCUCUAUGUGUGUGUUUGCGUGGAGGGAUCACUUCACGGGGAAACUAUCAGCUGGCCGCAGCUGGAAUGAUAACGCAACUCCAGGUCAAAGCACAUUGAUGAACCAGAGCCGAGUCACAUCGGGCCAGAGGAGCGUCGGCUGCACGAAGCUGAAGCUAAAGCUGCAACGAUGAGUCAAGUGGGAAUGAUGUAAACUAAAGUGUAAUAUGACUUGUGUUGUCACGAGAGGCUGGGUCUGGGAAGGGAGAUUACGUUCACCGGCGAUGGCUGUAACUACUAUGGCUCCACCUGCUGGUGGAGUUAGGAACUCCACCCUCAAACUCAGCGCAUUCCCCUCACACCUGAAACCCAUCAGGGUAUGACGACCGGGAGGCCUUCAUAAGGGCGGAAGACACACCGUUGAGGGGGGAAGAGACGAGCUGCAGAUUGGGCCCGCUGCAGAAGAGCAGGCCAAGACAGAAGGAUUCCCGGGGGGCAGGAGAGACCGGGAGGACGGUGUUUUCUCCUUAAAGAAGUGGAUUUCCGUUUCCCCUCCAAGGUCAAGACAUUAGUUAAGUUUGACCGGCGAAGAUCGACCGAACCCCGAGUUACCCCCUGUUUUGACUGUUUAAUCUGAAGGACGUAAAUUAAAACCUUUUGUUUACAUUUUGAACCCGGUGUCCUCGCACUAUUUGAACUACCCCGGAGAGAGCGGCGGCGCCACUCGUGACAUCAGACUUUUUUGUGAAUAUAUAUAUAUAUAUAUAUAUAUAUAUAUACACAAAAGUAUGAACUUGUUCUUACAACAUACAUUACUAUGACUUUUUCAUGAUAGUUUUCACAAUGCACAUUUCCAUGACUUUUUGCAUAUUUUUAAUGACACGCCAUUGUGAGGACCCUCCUUGUCACACACAGGUGUCCCUGUUGCUCGUGGUCAUCUGAUUGCAGGUGCAGGACAUACAUUACAAUUACUUUUUUGUCUUCAAAAUUGAUAAAUAUGACUUUUUUUAUGGAAUAUUUUCCAAGAUAGUGUACUAUAACUUAACUAUUUGCUGUUCGAGGCGUUACAAUAUGUGUCUAUUUAAUGGGAUUCCGUGGAUAUUUUUUACAAAAUACACUACAAUCCCUUCAUAACAUCUUCAUAAAAUAUUUCUUAUUUCAAGUAAUUAUCAAACUACAGUGUGAUUUAGAAUAGGUAAAAUAGUAAAUAUUUAUAAAAUGAUGUACUAUGUAUUUAUAGUUAUAUUUAUUUAAUUGUAACUUUCACAUGUUUUUGACAUUUCUUAUGGAACAGUGUAGAAUUAAAUGAGAGUAUAACAAUAUUAUUUUCAUGCUAUUUUUU